RNAcentral lists this ribosomal RNA (492 nucleotides) under uncultured bacterium. RNAcentral's name for it is "partial 16S ribosomal RNA". It matches the Rfam family "Bacterial small subunit ribosomal RNA", at positions 29 to 507 of the family's 1533-position model. The record is from RNAcentral.
AGUGAACGCUGGCGGUAGGCCUAACACAUGCAAGUCGAACGGCAGCACAGUAAGAGCUUGCUCUUACGGGUGGCGAGUGGCGGACGGGUGAGGAAUACAUCGGAAUCUACUUUUUCGUGGGGGAUAACGUAGGGAAACUUACGCUAAUACCGCAUACGACCUACGGGUGAAAGCAGGGGAUCUUCGGACCUUGCGCGAUUGAAUGAGCCGAUGUCGGAUUAGCUGGUUGGCGGGGUAAAGGCCCACCAAGGCGACGAUCCGUAGCUGGUCUGAGAGGAUGAUCAGCCACACUGGAACUGAGACACGGUCCAGACUCCUACGGGAGGCAGCAGUGGGGAAUAUUGGACAAUGGGCGCAAGCCUGAUCCAGUCAUACCGCGUGGGUGAAGAAGGCCUUCGGGUUGUAAAGCCCUUUUGUUGGGAAAGAAAAGCAGCAGGUUAAUACCCCGCUGUUCUGACGGUACCCAAAGAAUAAGCACCGGCUAACUUCGUG